Sphaerobolus stellatus SS14 is the source of this 108-nucleotide non-coding RNA. NCBI's taxonomy places the organism in Eukaryota, Fungi, Basidiomycota, Agaricomycetes, Geastrales, Sphaerobolaceae. The record is from the annotation of a GenBank genome assembly.
CGCUUACUAGCUCAAUUGGUAGAGCGUGGGACUCUUAUAUUCAGUCUUUACAGGCUAAAGUGUCAGAUAAUAAUCUCAAGGCUGGGAGUUCGAUCCCUCCGUAAGGUU